GGGGGUGUUCAGUGGUAGAGUGCGUGCUUAGCAUGCAUGAGGUCCUGGGUUCAGUCCCCAGUACCUCCA
This 69-nucleotide transfer RNA is filed under the name Camelus bactrianus (Bactrian camel). It matches the Rfam family "tRNA". Rfam says of the family: Transfer RNA (tRNA) molecules are approximately 80 nucleotides in length. Their secondary structure includes four short double-helical elements and three loops (D, anti-codon, and T loops). The record is from Rfam by way of RNAcentral. RNAcentral also lists the same sequence under 2 other names. Lineage: Eukaryota; Metazoa; Chordata; Mammalia; Artiodactyla; Camelidae.